This 613-nucleotide unclassified non-coding RNA is filed under the name [Verticillium] biguttatum. Its description in RNAcentral is "sequence contains 18S rRNA gene, ITS1, 5.8S rRNA gene, ITS2, 28S rRNA gene". The stretch from base 229 to 382 matches the Rfam family "5.8S ribosomal RNA". The record is from RNAcentral. Lineage: Eukaryota; Fungi; Ascomycota; Sordariomycetes; Hypocreales.
GAAGUAAAAGUCGUAACAAGGUCUCCGUUGGUGAACCAGCGGAGGGAUCAUUAUCGAGUUUACAACUCCCAAACCCAAUGUGAACAUUACCUAUCGUUGCUUCGGCGGGUUCGCCCCGGGCGCUCGUUAUGCGCGUGCCCCGGAUCCAGGCGCCCGCCGGAGGAAUCCAAACUCAUGUUUUAUCAGUGGUAUCUUCUGAGUAGCCGCAAGGCAAAACAAAUAAAUUAAAACUUUUAACAACGGAUCUCUUGGUUCUGGCAUCGAUGAAGAACGCAGCGAAAUGCGAUAAGUAAUGUGAAUUGCAGAAUUCAGUGAAUCAUCGAAUCUUUGAACGCACAUUGCGCCCGCCAGUAUUCUGGCGGGCAUGCCUGUCCGAGCGUCAUUUCAACCCUCGGGCGACCGCUUUGCCGCGGGAGCCCGGCGUUGGGGAUCGGCCGUCGUUAGUGGCGGCCGGCCCCGAAAUCUAGUGGCGGUCUCGCUGUAGCUUCCUCUGCGUAGUAACAUUUCGUCUCGCAGUCUGGAGAGCGGCGCGGCCAUGCCGUAAAACCCCCGACUUUAUCAAGGUUGACCUCGGAUCAGGUAGGAAUACCCGCUGAACCUAAGCAUAUCAAUA